RNAcentral lists this ribosomal RNA (1529 nucleotides) under Klebsiella pneumoniae. Its description in RNAcentral is "bacterial SSU rRNA". It matches the Rfam family "Bacterial small subunit ribosomal RNA". Lineage: Bacteria; Pseudomonadati; Pseudomonadota; Gammaproteobacteria; Enterobacterales; Enterobacteriaceae. The record is from RNAcentral.
AGAGUUUGAUCAUGGCUCAGAUUGAACGCUGGCGGCAGGCCUAACACAUGCAAGUCGAGCGGUAGCACAGAGAGCUUGCUCUCGGGUGACGAGCGGCGGACGGGUGAGUAAUGUCUGGGAAACUGCCUGAUGGAGGGGGAUAACUACUGGAAACGGUAGCUAAUACCGCAUAACGUCGCAAGACCAAAGUGGGGGACCUUCGGGCCUCAUGCCAUCAGAUGUGCCCAGAUGGGAUUAGCUAGUAGGUGGGGUAACGGCUCACCUAGGCGACGAUCCCUAGCUGGUCUGAGAGGAUGACCAGCCACACUGGAACUGAGACACGGUCCAGACUCCUACGGGAGGCAGCAGUGGGGAAUAUUGCACAAUGGGCGCAAGCCUGAUGCAGCCAUGCCGCGUGUGUGAAGAAGGCCUUCGGGUUGUAAAGCACUUUCAGCGGGGAGGAAGGCGGUGAGGUUAAUAACCUCAUCGAUUGACGUUACCCGCAGAAGAAGCACCGGCUAACUCCGUGCCAGCAGCCGCGGUAAUACGGAGGGUGCAAGCGUUAAUCGGAAUUACUGGGCGUAAAGCGCACGCAGGCGGUCUGUCAAGUCGGAUGUGAAAUCCCCGGGCUCAACCUGGGAACUGCAUUCGAAACUGGCAGGCUAGAGUCUUGUAGAGGGGGGUAGAAUUCCAGGUGUAGCGGUGAAAUGCGUAGAGAUCUGGAGGAAUACCGGUGGCGAAGGCGGCCCCCUGGACAAAGACUGACGCUCAGGUGCGAAAGCGUGGGGAGCAAACAGGAUUAGAUACCCUGGUAGUCCACGCCGUAAACGAUGUCGAUUUGGAGGUUGUGCCCUUGAGGCGUGGCUUCCGGAGCUAACGCGUUAAAUCGACCGCCUGGGGAGUACGGCCGCAAGGUUAAAACUCAAAUGAAUUGACGGGGGCCCGCACAAGCGGUGGAGCAUGUGGUUUAAUUCGAUGCAACGCGAAGAACCUUACCUGGUCUUGACAUCCACAGAACUUUCCAGAGAUGGAUUGGUGCCUUCGGGAACUGUGAGACAGGUGCUGCAUGGCUGUCGUCAGCUCGUGUUGUGAAAUGUUGGGUUAAGUCCCGCAACGAGCGCAACCCUUAUCCUUUGUUGCCAGCGGUUAGGCCGGGAACUCAAAGGAGACUGCCAGUGAUAAACUGGAGGAAGGUGGGGAUGACGUCAAGUCAUCAUGGCCCUUACGACCAGGGCUACACACGUGCUACAAUGGCAUAUACAAAGAGAAGCGACCUCGCGAGAGCAAGCGGACCUCAUAAAGUAUGUCGUAGUCCGGAUUGGAGUCUGCAACUCGACUCCAUGAAGUCGGAAUCGCUUAGUAAUCGUAGAUCAGAAUGCUACGGUGAAUACGUUCCCGGGCCUUGUACACACCGCCCGUCACACCAUGGGAGUGGGUUGCAAAAGAAGUAGGUAGCUUAACCUUCGGGAGGGCGCUUACCACUUUGUGAUUCAUGACUGGGGUGAAGUCGUAACAAGGUAACCGUAGGGGAACCUGCGGUUGGAUCACCU